GUAUGAGGAUUAACUCACUUGGAAUAAAAUAUAGAGCUCAAUUGAUAAUGACGCCAUCGUUCUCGUGGCUGCAAAAGAAAUCACUUCAUUAUUUGAAUUAUAAAACAAACAGGAAAUCUGAAAAUAAUCAGCUCUCACUGCGAUAUCCUCAAACUUUUAUCUUUUAAUUAUAAAACAUGCUUAUGUUGGGCUUGCUACUAGGAUGAUGGGUCGAGGCUCGCUCAUCAAAUUCCGGUGUGUCAUUUUGGGCCGUAAAGCAAUUGUAAGGAGGUUGAGCCACGUCUCUACAUGACAUGUAUCUAUCCAGCGUCAGAGAUUUGUUCUUCCCUUUUUCUGAAUCGAGGUGCAGUGCAAAGCAGAGCACGGUAACUAUGGUGUCGAUAUCAAGCGACUCUGCCUCUAUGCCCAAAGUAAGCCCUGUUCGGCUCCUGUAUGUGCUAUAAUUCUUCUAAUGUUUUCCUUGUGCGGAUCCUUUUGCCAAAAUCUGAUGUUGCUUGGAUGGGGUGCCUUUUCAAAGGUAGAAUUGCAUAUACAGUUGUUGUCUUCAAUGGUAAUAUACGAGUUUUAUUCAACAAAUUGGAUGAUGUGAUUUCAGAACCCAGUCAACAAAAAUGAUUAUCUUGGAGAAUAUACUGGUGAACUGAUCUCCCAUUAGUGCGAGAAAAUCUAUGAUAGUGCCAAUUCAUUAUUCCUCUUUGACUUGAGUGAUCAGGCAAGUGAUGGUUGCUUUCUUCCUGCCCAUUUUAUUUAACUCCUCCUUUUGGCUAUUGGGAGACCUGGUAGAACUUGGACUAGGUAUCGCCACCAUCCUAUGAUGAAUUCAAUUUGAGACCUCCAAGCUCAAGUCCGAAGCACAAAGCAUUCAAGCAUCCAUUAGGGACAUGCAAGUGAUAGUAGCUGCCCACAAGAUUGACAGCAUAAUAUAAUGGCAUCCAUUCACGUUGGGUGGACAUAGUGUUGAAAAUGCCAAUUUUUAACAAUUAAGAACUAAUAUCAAUAAUACCACUGAUGACAAUUAAGAACUAUAGGUCAUGUUUGAAAUGAGAAACCAGUGUCAACUGGCAAAAUCUAUUCCUCGCGGACAUUAUUUUCAUGGUUUGAUGUGGCAUGCCUCUUCUUCUACAGUAUGUUCUUGAUGCCUACUGCAAAGGAGAUGAGCUGAAAUUUGCAAACCCCUCAUCAAAUCCUAAUUGCUAUGCACAGGUAUGCUUGUCUUGAUGAUCCUUCUUUGCUUCAGUGAGCUAAUUUGUUGAGUGGCCCAGGUGAUGCUGGUGGCAGGAGAUCAUCGAGUAGGCAUCUUUGCCAAGGAACACAUUGAAGCCAUCACUGAGGAGCUAUUCUAUGAUUAUCGUUAUGGGCCAGACCAGGCUCCUGGGUGGACUCGUAAGCCUGAGGGUCCCAGAACUAGAAAAACAAGCGUUUCAAAACCUACAUAGCAAGUAGCUUGUUCGAAUGUAUCAGAAGCAGAAUAUUUCACUAGAUACUUGUAGAAAACAUGAUCCGUGAAUGCGGAAACUUUGCAUUUGCUUUACCACCUUCAA
RNA transcript from Manihot esculenta (cassava), 1541 nucleotides. It is a transcript of the gene named histone-lysine N-methyltransferase EZ2, with no coding region annotated. The record is from RefSeq and is a predicted model, not a curated record. The transcript has 2 exons. NCBI's taxonomy places the organism in Eukaryota, Viridiplantae, Streptophyta, Magnoliopsida, Malpighiales, Euphorbiaceae.